Molecule: non-coding RNA, 367 nt
Organism: Paramuricea clavata
Lineage: Eukaryota; Metazoa; Cnidaria; Anthozoa; Malacalcyonacea; Plexauridae
Source: the annotation of a GenBank genome assembly
AAAACAUACGAGUCUUCUCAUUUCAUGGGAAUAUCCUGAGUCUGCAAUCACGGCUUCAAUUUUUGAAUUGCAGAAUAAUUAUAGAUGCACUAUCUAGUGUAUAUAUAAGAUGUCUAUGGUCCCCCACAAUUACAGAAGUUCCCCCAUCACUAAUAGAGAUAUAAAUAGCGUGUUCUGUGGACUUGACGUUGAUCUGCAUAAUACUGCUGUCGAACCUUGUCGCCCGAUUAUGUUAUUUUCCGGUUUUAAAUUGCGAAUUAAAUUGUUUUAGGCAUCUGAAAGGUGCUUUUGUCUUUCGGAAAUAGGUUAACACCAUAUAUUGUUGCCUCUUUUGCUUUUAGAGGACUAGUAUAUUAGUAUGUUCUUU